UAGUAACUGCGAGUGAAGCGGGAAGAGCUCAAAUUUAAAAUCUGGCAGUCUUUGAUUGCCCGAGUUGUAGCCUAGAGAAGUGUCUUCCGCGCUGGACCGUGUACAAGUCUCUUGGAACAGAGCAUCAUAGAGGGUGAGAAUCCCGUCUUUGACACGGACUACCAGUGCUUUGUGAUGCGCUCUCAAAGAGUCGAGUUGUUUGGGAAUGCAGCUCAAAAUGGGUGGUAAAUUCCAUCUAAAGCUAAAUAUUGGCGAGAGACCGAUAGCGAACAAGUACCGUGAGGGAAAGAUGAAAAGCACUUUGGAAAGAGAGUUAAACAGUACGUGAAAUUGCUGAAAGGGAAACGCUUGAAGUCAGUCGUGUCAGUCAGAACUCAGCCUUGCUUUUGCUUGGUGCAUUUUCUGAUUGAUAGGCCAGCAUCAGUUUUGGUCAUAGGAGAAAGGUCAGAGAAAUGUGGCACCCUCGGGUGUGUUAUAGUCUUUGACUGCAUACUAUGACUGAGACUGAGGAACUCAGCACGCGCAAGCUGUGCUUAGGAUGUUGGCGUAAUGGCUUUAAACGACCCGUCUUGAAACACGGACCAAGGAGUCUAACAUACCUGCGAGUGUUUGAGUGGCAAACUCGAGCGCGUAAUGAAAGUGAAAGUUGGGAUCUCUGUCGCGGAGAGCACCGACGCCCGGACCAGACCUUCUGUGACGGAUCUGAGGUAGAGCAUGUAUGUUGGGACCCGAAAGAUGGUGAACUAUGCCUGAAUAGGGUGAAGCCAGAGGAAACUCUGGUGGAGCUCGUAGCGAUUCUGACGUGCAAAUCGAUCGUCAAUUUGGGUAUA
This 830-nucleotide ribosomal RNA is filed under the name Ceriporia mellita. RNAcentral describes it as "partial 28S ribosomal RNA". It matches the Rfam family "Eukaryotic large subunit ribosomal RNA", at positions 81 to 919 of the family's 3401-position model. Lineage: Eukaryota; Fungi; Basidiomycota; Agaricomycetes; Polyporales; Irpicaceae. The record is from RNAcentral.